RNAcentral lists this ribosomal RNA (395 nucleotides) under uncultured bacterium. RNAcentral's name for it is "partial 16S ribosomal RNA". It matches the Rfam family "Bacterial small subunit ribosomal RNA", at positions 338 to 730 of the family's 1533-position model. The record is from RNAcentral.
CCUACGGGUGGCAGCAGUGAGGAAUAUUGGUCAAUGGCCGUAAGACUGAACCAGCCAAGCCGCGUGAAGGAAGAAGGUUCUAUGUUUCGUAAACUUCUUUUAUCGGGGAAUAAAGGUAUCCACGUGUGGCCGUUUGCAUGUACCCUAUGAAUAAGCAUCGGCUAACUCCGUGCCAGCAGCCGCGGUAAUACGGAGGAUGCGAGCGUUAUCCGGAUUUAUUGGGUUUAAAGGGUGCGUAGGUGGUUUUUUAAGUCAGCGGUUAAAGUUUGUGGCUCAACCAUAAAAUUGCCGUUGAAACUGGCAGACUCGAGUGUGAUUGAGGUAGGCGGAAUGCGUGGUGUAGCGGUGAAAUGCAUAGAUAUCGCGCAGAACUCCGAUUGCGAAGGCAGCUUACU